AUUGAACGCUGGCGGCAGGCUUAACACAUGCAAGUCGAGCGGAGAGAGGUAGCUUGCUACUGAUCUUAGCGGCGGACGGGUGAGUAAUGCUUAGGAAUCUGCCUAUUAGUGGGGGACAACAUUUCGAAAGGAAUGCUAAUACCGCAUACGUCCUACGGGAGAAAGCAGGGGAUCUUCGGACCUUGCGCUAAUAGAUGAGCCUAAGUCGGAUUAGCUAGUUGGUGGGGUAAAGGCCUACCAAGGCGACGAUCUGUAGCGGGUCUGAGAGGAUGAUCCGCCACACUGGGACUGAGACACGGCCCAGACUCCUACGGGAGGCAGCAGUGGGGAAUAUUGGACAAUGGGCGCAAGCCUGAUCCAGCCAUGCCGCGUGUGUGAAGAAGGCCUUAUGGUUGUAAAGCACUUUAAGCGAGGAGGAGGCUACUUUAGAUAAUACCUAGAGAUAGUGACAUUACUCGCAGAAUAAGCACCGACUAACUCUGUGCCAGCCGCCGCGGUAA
This 500-nucleotide ribosomal RNA is filed under the name uncultured bacterium. RNAcentral's name for it is "partial 16S ribosomal RNA". It matches the Rfam family "Bacterial small subunit ribosomal RNA", at positions 30 to 523 of the family's 1533-position model. The record is from RNAcentral.